This 584-nucleotide ribosomal RNA is filed under the name uncultured bacterium. RNAcentral describes it as "partial 16S ribosomal RNA". It matches the Rfam family "Bacterial small subunit ribosomal RNA", at positions 355 to 937 of the family's 1533-position model. The record is from RNAcentral.
UGGGGAAUUUUGGACAAUGGGCGAAAGCCUGAUCCAGCAAUGCCGCGUGUGUGAAGAAGGCCUUCGGGUUGUAAAGCACUUUUGUCCGGAAAGAAAUCCUUGGCUCUAAUACAGUCGGGGGAUGACGGUACCGGAAGAAUAGGCACCGGCUAACUACGUGCCAGCAGCCGCGGUAAUACGUAGGGUGCAAGCGUUAAUCGGAAUUACUGGGCGUAAAGCGUGCGCAGGCGGUUUGCUAAGACCGAUGUGAAAUCCCCGGGCUCAACCUGGGAACUGCAUUGGUGACUGGCAGGCUAGAGUAUGGCAGAGGGAGGUAGAAUUCCACGUGUAGCAGUGAAAUGCGUAGAGAUGUGGAGGAAUACCGAUGGCGAGGGCAGCCCCCUGGGCCAAUACUGACGCUCAUGCACGAAAGCGUGGGGAGCAAACAGGAUUAGAUACCCUGGUAGUCCACGCCCUAAACGAUGUCAACUAGUUGUUGGGGGACUUCAUUUCCUUGUAACGUAGCUAACGCGUGAAGUUGACCGCUGGGGAGUACGGUCGCAAGAUUAAAACUCAAAUGAAUUGACGGGGUCAUAGCUGUUCCU